GCGGCAGUAGCUCAAUGGAUAGAGCAUCUGGCUUCGGACCAGAGGGUUGGGGGUUCGAGUCCUCUCUGCCGCACCA
Molecule: transfer RNA, 76 nt
Filed under: Gemmatimonadota bacterium
Lineage: Bacteria; Pseudomonadati; Gemmatimonadota
Description: Gemmatimonadetes bacterium tRNA-Arg
Rfam family: tRNA
About the family: Transfer RNA (tRNA) molecules are approximately 80 nucleotides in length. Their secondary structure includes four short double-helical elements and three loops (D, anti-codon, and T loops). Further hydrogen bonds mediate the characteristic L-shaped molecular structure. tRNAs have two regions of fundamental functional importance: the anti-codon, which is responsible for specific mRNA codon recognition, and the 3' end, to which the tRNAs corresponding amino acid is attached (by aminoacyl-tRNA synthetases). tRNAs cope with the degeneracy of the genetic code in two manners: having more than one tRNA (with a specific anti-codon) for a particular amino acid; and 'wobble' base-pairing, i.e. permitting non-standard base-pairing at the 3rd anti-codon position.
Source: RNAcentral